Osmia bicornis bicornis is the source of this 1708-nucleotide long non-coding RNA. RefSeq lists it as uncharacterized. The record is from RefSeq and is a predicted model, not a curated record. The transcript is spliced from 2 exons. NCBI's taxonomy places the organism in Eukaryota, Metazoa, Arthropoda, Insecta, Hymenoptera, Megachilidae.
GCACGUGAUCCGGUGCAAUUACAGAAUGAACAGGAUACAUCGUUUCACGAUCGUGCCGCAUGCUCGUCGCGUGUAAAUAUUAAUUCAGAACCGUCCGCGCCUCCCUUCGUCUCCGUCACGUUUUAUCGGGACAUUUUUAUCCAGAUAAAGCGUCUACGCGCGAUUAUCAGCGGGACUUCUGUCGCCGUAUCACGCGACCGAUCAGUUGAAACUUGUUCCUAGUCCCUUUUUUUGCUUUUGAAGUUAAUGAAAACAUGUAGAUUCAAUCGGAAUUAGCACGUAGGUGAUCGACUUUUGCUUCGUUUUAAUUUUAUUCCUACCUCUAAUCACGGUUACCGGUUGCUUUACAUUUUUCUUCACAGCCGUGCGUGCUAUAAUUGACCCACUUUGGAACAGGGUUCUUAUCUGAGAAUACCGAAUUGGAAAUUGAAAAUUUCUUAUAUUAGGAAAAUUUUUGUAUAAAUAUUCAAACGACUUAGAAGUUCAUAAAAAUCAUUAUAAAAAAUUUUAAAAAACAAUUGAUUAUUUUGGUAUUCAAGAAGAAAAUGGCUACUUUUUUUCGGUGAAAUAGAAGAAAGGAAUAUUUGUGAAAGUUUCGGUGAAAUAUGAACCGGCAGCAACGAACGUGUUAAAAGUCGCGCGAAACGCUGGCUUCGAUGCAGAUCCGAAUUUAUAGGAUCGGCCAACGUAUUCUCGACAAGGUGGAUCCGAUUUCGCUUGGUCGCGAUGUCACAAUCGUCGUUUUCGAGAAACGUGACCGCCAUCAGUGUGACCAACGGUUGCGUCACCAUUGAUUCGACAACACGGAAAACCUUUCUCUAUGUUGGCCUAAAUACCGUCUCCUCGGCCGUUCCUCGCGUACAGAUUUUGCCGUGGCCUUCCGGUCCUCGUGGACACGCUCGCCGUGAAAUCUGACCACGUCGAGGACCCUCGGACUUCGGGGAACGCCAUUGCAACGAAGAAUACCCAACCAUUACAAAACUAAUCGGGGAUUUCUUGCCUAUCGAUGACGCGUACUCUUAACAUUACUACAUAUUGUAUUACGUAAAACUCAUUGCAUUGAGCAAGCAAACUGCUGACGGAACACUCAUUGGACACGUGAUGCUUUGUAACUUCGAGACGUAUACGAAAUAUUUGCUUCGAAAAUAAUGAUCGAUAUGGAAGACAUUACUUUCUUUUAUAGCCACUGAGAGUUUCCUUACAGAGAAUCAGUGUUGUAUUUUUUUUAAAAACAAAUUUAAUCACCAGUGUAUUUAGAAAGAGAAAAAAGAGCAGUGUUGCAAUACAGAUAAAAUGCCCAAUAAUAAACAUGAGUCAUCCCUAAAUUUUCCGACAUAUGUAACAUGUCUCGUUAUGCUUAUAUUACUUUUAUUUUCGAAUAAUAUGGAUUCCAAUAAAAAAGAAAAAUUAAUGAUGGAAUCUUUGAGAAAUCGAUGGUUAUAACAAAUAUUGUUUCUUUCAAUUUUUAAUAUCAAAGCACGUAAUGCAUACGUUAAACACAUUCAUUGUCAUAAUUACAAUUAAAGUAAUGAAGAAAGAGAAAAAAAUUAUGCCAACAGUAAAUGUUAUAUCUUUAAUAAUUUAUAUUAUCGUGUGUCUGAUUAAUGUCUGUAUCUACUGCGGCAAUUCAUCCACCACGGUUUUUUGUCUUAUGUAUUUUAAAAUAAAUAAAAAUUAAAUUUUAUCAAAUAAUUUAAAAAAUAUCGUA